Mauremys mutica (yellowpond turtle) is the source of this 1052-nucleotide long non-coding RNA. RefSeq lists it as uncharacterized. The transcript is spliced from 3 exons. NCBI's taxonomy places the organism in Eukaryota, Metazoa, Chordata, Testudines, Geoemydidae. The record is from RefSeq and is a predicted model, not a curated record.
UUAAAGCAAAGAGGUCCCUGUUGUCCUGCUCUUUGUGAAAGGGGAAAGACCUGGAGCCUGUUGUCAUUGGAUUCUAUUCUUUUCUUUACAGAGUUCACAUCCAGGUAAAAGUCUGCUUGUUCUAAAAGAAAUUUGCACAGGUUUGCCCAGCGUUUAUAUAUUAAUAUUUGGGUGCCAAUACUAUGAAAGCACACUAAAUAAUCAUCUCAAGAAUCCUGUGCAAGAUAUCAGCAAUAUAAUCCUCCUUUUACAAAUAGUGAAACUGAGGCAUACAACAGCGAGGUCAUUUGCUGAAGACAAUGAAACCAGGAUUAGAACUCCAAUCCAUAGCAAAUUAAAUCAGCAGGAGUCUUUGCCUCUCUCUCAUGAGCACAAACUUACUUUACAUGCUGGAUCCUUAAAUAGCAACAGAUUUUGUCCACCACCACAAACAGUCAUUCAGGAAUGAAUGUUAACAAAAGUUCUAAACAGGUCACACCUGCAACAGUUCAGCCCUUCUAAGGACAAAUGACAAUAUGUGCCCUUGCUCUGGUUGAGACUCAAAUGUUUGUAGCAAUGUUCUGUUGAGUCAAAGCUGAGAAUGCUUCAACUGCUACCACUCUCAUCCAGAAGAUGGAAUGGAAGUUGGUUUAAAACAAGUUAAAAGCACAAUGGCAAAGAACUGUUCGUCCCUUGCUUCCAUUACGGUAAAGUUGAACCAAUAUGGCGACAGAAGACUACACUGGACGAAGCUGGUUGAAACACCUGAGUUCAGUGGAAAAAGUUAUUCCUUCCCUCUGAAUAUGGUGACUUGUUUUGAAUGUUGGUGGAAAUAAAUCUGUGAUGAACAUCACAGUGAAACCUGUAAACCUCUACCAAAGGAAUGCUUUUUCCCUUGCUCUUUUUAACAAUGGUCUUAAUAAAUCAGUAAGGAAAAGUGGUAGUGACUAAUUAGGAUAGGUGAGAGCACAGAUUUCUAUAUAUAUAUGUAUAUUUCUAUAUCAUUGCAGAUGGCAAAGAUUUCUACAACUCACAUAUCUUGAUGAUACAUGAAAGUACUUUUAUAAGCACGU